This is a long non-coding RNA of Alligator mississippiensis (American alligator), 1126 nucleotides long. RefSeq lists it as uncharacterized. The transcript has 3 exons. Lineage: Eukaryota; Metazoa; Chordata; Crocodylia; Alligatoridae. The record is from RefSeq and is a predicted model, not a curated record.
GGGGGGGGGGGGACGACAUGCCUCUCCUAAGGUGGCACCAAUCAUCCAUGCUGAUGGCUGAAAAUCAGCCGUAUGAACCAUUACCGAUCCCAUAGCCGAUUUACAGGAACGCAUCCCGGCAGAUUGGAAAGCAGCUUCCUGCCAGUCCUGAAUGCCCUCAAAUCCCACUGAAGUCAGCAGGUCCCUACCAGGGCAGAUCUAGUGGGAGUGGAGGGGCACAAUCACAUGCCCACUUUGGACCACAGCACAGAAGUGGCAGCCAAGGACUUCUUUUAAAUUCCCAAAGCAGGCACGUUAUUGCUGGUGAAUGUAGUCGCAAUCAGCUGUUGCAGAGGUCAGCCAGAUUGGUCCUGCUGUUGAGCUCUUUUGGACACUUUCCACUCCAUCACAAAUUAACACCUUCAAAAGCUCCCUUGUGAAAGACAGACCAGCAAACACUGGACAGAGCUUUUCUCCUCUGUAGUUUCUCUUCUCUUUUCUGUAUGCCCUUUUACUCCUGCACCCCUUGUCCUUCUUCCCUCUCUACCUCUUCAUACUCCUGUCCAUAUGGCACGGCUUCUCCCUUCCACUUUGCUGGAUCUGGUCUAUACCAAUAUAUCUGCCUGCAACGAGCCAAACUGAGCUGCAGUUAGAGGCAGGAUCAGUCCUUGAACGGAAGACAUUGCUGACAGAAGAGACUACGUAUCCAAGCAGGCCACGGUGACAAUUGCAGGAACACUAAGAUACACAUUUUUAAUAAUGGGUGAUGUCUAUAGAUCAGUACACAAUACCACCAGAAUAUUACUGUCCUUUUUUACAUUAAUAUCAUACUUUCUUUUCAUACAAUCUUAAUGAGACUUCAUGCUCUGAAAAUAGUACUUGGGGAGGCAGAUGUACCCACCCAGCCAUCCAAGGAAACCUCAACUACCCUAAUACACUUCCACGCAUGGGGAAGAAAAAGUAUUUGCAUGUUUAAAUAAGACUUUUUCCCUCUAGGGUUCAGCUCUCCAGCUUCUUUAAAGAUUGGGGUAGGAAGUACUAUCACUAUCUCUUGAAUUUCAAAUAAUUUAUUGUUUUAAGCAAAAUAAGAAUACAUUACUCAAACCUCUGUAUCCCAUCUUACUAAUUUAUUACACGUUUAAUAAAC